RNAcentral lists this ribosomal RNA (467 nucleotides) under uncultured bacterium. Its description in RNAcentral is "partial 16S ribosomal RNA". It matches the Rfam family "Bacterial small subunit ribosomal RNA", at positions 28 to 507 of the family's 1533-position model. The record is from RNAcentral.
GACGAACGCUGGCGGCGUGCUUAACACAUGCAAGUCGAACGAUGACGACCGAGCUUGCUCGGUCUGAUUAGUGGCGAACGGGUGGGUAACACGUGAGCAACCUGCCCUUCACUCUGGGAUAACCUCGGGAAAUCGGGGCUAAUACCGGAUAUGAGCUCCUGUCGCAUGGCGGGUGUUGGAAAGUUUUUCGGUGAAGGAUGGGCUCGCGGCCUAUCAGUUUGUUGGUGAGGUAGUGGCUCACCAAGGCGAUGACGGGUAGCCGGCCUGAGAGGGCGACCGGCCACACUGGGACUGAGACACGGCCCAGACUCCUACGGGAGGCAGCAGUGGGGAAUAUUGCACAAUGGGCGAAAGCCUGAUGCAGCGACGCCGCGUGAGGGAUGACGGCCUUCGGGUUGUAAACCUCUUUCAGCAGGGAAGAAGCGAAAGUGACGGUACCUGCAGAAGAAGCGCCGGCUAACUACGUG